GACGAACGCUGGCGGCGUGCCUAAUACAUGCAAGUAGAACGCUGAAGGAGGAGCUUGCUUCUCUGGAUGAGUUGCGAACGGGUGAGUAACGCGUAGGUAACCUGCCUGGUAGCGGGGGAUAACUAUUGGAAACGAUAGCUAAUACCGCAUAAUAGCAGUUGUUGCAUGAUAACUGUUUGAAAGGUGCAAUUGCACCACUACCAGAUGGACCUGCGUUGUAUUAGCUAGUUGGUGGGGUAACGGCUCACCAAGGCGACGAUACAUAGCCGACCUGAGAGGGUGAUCGGCUACACUGGGACUGAGACACGGCCCAGACUCCUACGGGAGGCAGCAGUAGGGAAUCGUCGGCAAUGGACGGAAGUCUGACCGAGCAACGCCGCGUGAGUGAAGAAGGUUGUCGGAUCGUAAAGCUCUGUUGUAAGAGAAGAACGAGUGUGAGAGUGGAAAGUUCACACUGUGACGGUAUCUUACCAGAAAGGGACGGCUAACUACGUG
This 495-nucleotide ribosomal RNA is filed under the name uncultured bacterium. RNAcentral describes it as "partial 16S ribosomal RNA". It matches the Rfam family "Bacterial small subunit ribosomal RNA", at positions 28 to 507 of the family's 1533-position model. The record is from RNAcentral.